Molecule: small nuclear RNA, 180 nt
Filed under: Pelobates cultripes (western spadefoot toad)
Lineage: Eukaryota; Metazoa; Chordata; Amphibia; Anura; Pelobatidae
Rfam family: U2 spliceosomal RNA
About the family: U2 is a small nuclear RNA (snRNA) component of the spliceosome (involved in pre-mRNA splicing). Complementary binding between U2 snRNA (in an area lying towards the 5' end but 3' to hairpin I) and the branchpoint sequence (BPS) of the intron results the bulging out of an unpaired adenosine, on the BPS, which initiates a nucleophilic attack at the intronic 5' splice site, thus starting the first of two transesterification reactions that mediate splicing.
Source: RNAcentral
AAGACUUUUUUUAUUCAAUAAAAAAAAUCUGUUCUUAUCAGUUUAAUAUCUGAUACGUCCCCUAUCUGGGGACCAUAUAUUAAAUGGAUUUUUGGGACAGGGAGAUGGAAGAAGAGCUUGCUCUGUCCACUCCACGCAUUGACCUGGUAUUGCAGUACCUCCAGGACCGGUGCACCUCUC